GGCUGAUGGCUUUUGGACUUCAAAUAAAAGAGAAACAAAGCGAUUCUUAAACAAAAGAACUGCUGUCUGAAAGCAAUUCUUAAAGAGAAAGAGCCCUAUUGAUACCGAACAGGAAAGCUGGGUCACUGAAGUCUGCCUUGGGAGCUCUACCUGGACCGUCAGAUCUUAGGCUCCAGAAGUAGAAGAGACCUUUCUGGGCACCUCAUCCGUGGGUCUGCCGGGCAGCGAUGAGCACACUGUGGGCUCAGCAUGGACCAACACAGUCCUAGCUAAAGGUUGAACGAUGGCCCUGAAGGACAUCUGGGUCCUAACGCCUGGAAUUUGACAGUGUUACUUUAUACGACAAGAGAUUUUGCAUAUGUGAUUAAGGUAAGGAUCGUGAGAUGGGGAGAUUAUCCUGAAUUACCCAGGUAUGCCUUAAGUAUCAUCACAGGUAUCCUUGUAAGAGGGAGGCAGAGAGGGAUUUGACACAGAAAAGGAAGGCAAUGAAUGUGACAACGGAAGCAGGAUGCUGCGCUGCUGGCUUUGAAGAUGGAGGAAGGGACCACAAGCCAGGAAUGCAGCUCCAGGGCUGGAAAAGGCCCAGUCACAGAUUCUCCCUGGAGCCUCUGGGUAGAGCGCGGUUCUGCUGACACCUUGACUUCAGCCCGGGGAAACUGAUUACAGACUCCGAGCUCCAGGACUGUAAGAGAGUGAAAGCAUGUUCUUUUAAAACAUCAAUUUUGUGGUAGCUGUGACGGCAGCCAUAGGCAACUAGUACAAUCAUGUAAAUUUACUUCCUUUGCAUUGUUUCAUUUUUAAAAAUUGGCACCUGAGCUGACAUCUGUUGCCAAUCAUUUUUUUCUUCUUCUUCUCCCCAAAGCCCCCCAGUACAUAGUUGUAUAUUCUAGUUGUAGGUCCUUCUGCUUGUGCUGUGCAAGAUGCCGCCUCAGCGUGGCUUGAUGAGUGGUGCCACGUCCGCGCCAAGGAUCCCAACCAGCAAAACUCUGGGCCACCGAAACAGAGCGCGCGAACUUUUAACCACUCGGCCAUGGGGCCGGCCCCUGCAUUGUUUCUUGAUCUAUCAUAGAGGAGAAUUAAAACUUCUGCCCAAUGAUUGCGUUUUUGCUCAUUUCUUCUUGACCUUUAA
This 1129-nucleotide long non-coding RNA is filed under the name Equus caballus (horse). RNAcentral's name for it is "lncRNA (ENSECAG00000043832.1)". The record is from RNAcentral. Lineage: Eukaryota; Metazoa; Chordata; Mammalia; Perissodactyla; Equidae.